RNAcentral lists this ribosomal RNA (497 nucleotides) under uncultured bacterium. Its description in RNAcentral is "partial 16S ribosomal RNA". It matches the Rfam family "Bacterial small subunit ribosomal RNA", at positions 29 to 507 of the family's 1533-position model. The record is from RNAcentral.
UAUGCACGCUGGCGGCGUGCCUAAUACAUGCAAGUCGAGCGAACGGACGAGAAGCUUGCUUUUCUGAUGUUAGCGGCGGACGGGUGAGUAACACGUGGAUAACCUACCUAUAAGACUGGGAUAACUUCGGGAAACCGGAGCUAAUACCGGAUAAUAUUUUGAACCGCAUGGUUCAAAAGUGAAAGACGGUCUUGCUGUCACUUAUAGAUGGAUCCGCGCUGCAUUAGCUAGUUGGUAAGGUAACGGCUUACCAAGGCAACGAUGCAUAGCCGACCUGAGAGGGUGAUCGGCCACACUGGAACUGAGACACGGUCCAGACUCCUACGGGAGGCAGCAGUAGGGAAUCUUCCGCAAUGGGCGAAAGCCUGACGUAGCAACGCCGCGUGAGUGAUGAAGGUCUUCGGAUCGUAAAACUCUGUUAUUAGGGAAGAACAUAUGUGUAAGUAACUGUGCACAUCUUGACGGUACCUAAUCAGAAAGCCACGGCUAACUACGUG